AUGAACGCUGGCGGCGUGCCUAAUACAUGCAAGUCGAGCGAACGGACGAGAAGCUUGCUUCUCUGAUGUUAGCGGCGGACGGGUGAGUAACACGUGGAUAACCUACCUAUAAGACUGGGAUAACUUCGGGAAACCGGAGCUAAUACCGGAUAAUAUUUUGAACCGCAUGGUUCAAAAGUGAAAGACGGUCUUGCUGUCACUUAUAGAUGGAUCCGCGCUGCAUUAGCUAGUUGGUAAGGUAGCGGCUUACCAAGGCAACGAUGCAUAGCCGACCUGAGAGGGUGAUCGGCCACACUGGAACUGAGACACGGUCCAGACUCCUACGGGAGGCAGCAGUAGGGAAUCUUCCGCAAUGGGCGAAAGCCUGACGGAGCAACGCCGCGUGAGUGAUGAAGGCCUUCGGAUCGUAAAACUCUGUUAUUAGGGAAGAACAUAUGUGUAAGUAACUGUGCACAUCUUGACGGUACCUAAUCAGAAAGCCACGGCUAACUACGUG
This 496-nucleotide ribosomal RNA is filed under the name uncultured bacterium. RNAcentral's name for it is "partial 16S ribosomal RNA". It matches the Rfam family "Bacterial small subunit ribosomal RNA", at positions 29 to 507 of the family's 1533-position model. The record is from RNAcentral.